GAUGGCCGCAGAAGGAUAUCCGCCUCUUUCAGCCAUGGCGGCCAGCCGGGGUGUUUCGCGGCGGCCAUUGGGGAGUAUCCACCGCCAUCCGUCUUCUCUGGGGCUCUCCCGCCGCUCGGCUCCGCCGCAUCGGCGCCCUGUAGGCAUCGCGUCCGGUGGCUGCGCUUCAUCGCGCUUCGAAGGCUGCGAAGGGUAGCGCGGCCUUGCCCCCGCCUUCCUCCUCAGGUUGGGGCCGGCCCCGGGCGAGUGAGGGACCUCCGAGGCUGAGCUGAUGCCCUGUCCCGGGACAGGCGGCCGCGGAUGGAAGAGCCGCCCGGCCCUAUCGAAGCUGCGUCUGUCGGUGCUGUGGUAGAUGCGGUCAAAAAGGAGCCAAGAGCAAAGGGAUUUUCCUCGACGGUCGCCGCUCAGUUAAAGUCUUCGUAACUGUCCGGCAACAUUUCGGAAAACAGCAUCCUGGCGUAGAAAGUGAUCCCGGGACAUGGGAUGACUGGUGACAGCCUCAGCUUCGGGCAAGUGAGAUGGGCGAUCCUGGUUCUGGAGUCCUCUUUUGAGAGGCUGAGAAUUGGUUGGUUUUGUUGCCUCCCUGGACCAGAGUAGGAACCACCAGCGUUUCCUGCCGCUCUGCUAUUGGACAAUGCCAGCAUGUGCAGUUCCGAGGCUGUGCAUCCUCCACAGGGCUUGUCCUUGGGGCUGGGCCUUAGUACUUAGUGCUUGCUCCAUCCAGACGAUGUAUGGGUGGGUUAAGGGCAAUUCCUCUCUCUGGGGCCCACUAGAGGCAGAACUGGGGGUCAACCCUGAUCCCGGAGCGAGUCAAUGAGUCUGUCACAGACUUUACAGAGUAUAAACUCUGUGUUAACCUGCAUGUUAAUCCAAGAGCUGUGGCUCCAUGCAGUAGCUGCAGGUCUCCAACAGCAUGCCAGAGCAAUAGGAAGGUCUUUGACUGCUGGGCCUCUUCUGCCUGUGACUGUCACUCGCCCCUCCAAUACAUUUUUGGGAAUUGGGCUGUUCCUUGUUUUGGGUUCCAGGGAUCAAAUGAGUCAAAGGUGUGUCCACAAAAGUCUGCAGCCCACUGCUGAUGUUGGGUGUAUGUUGUGAUGUCUUCCAGGGGUCCUGGGUGUUCCAGAGCUCACCCAUCUGUUGGAUAAACCCAGCAAUAACUCUGUGGAAAAAUACUAAACCCUGUGAGCCCUGUCCAAGGGCUUCAGCUUGCUUUCUAUAGGACCUGAGUUUUGGGAAAGCUGCAAUGUGGAUCAUGUCUAAGCAGAGGGUGAACCAUCCCUGAGGGACUUGGUGCUGCAGUACCAGACUGUUCUUUCCCAGCCCUCUCCUCCAGAAGUGGGAGCUCUGCAGAGCCAGAUCCUGGCUCCUUCCUGAGCUAUGAGCUCCACUAAGUGGGAUCAGCCAUUCCUGAGCUCCGCUCACCUGCAGUGGACAGAGAUAGAACUGGUUUGGCUCCAGGUAUUGCUGAAGCUCUGGUUCAGAUGCUCCACAUGGAAGAGCAGUCUGUUCCAUGGAGUUUUCUCAGGAGGGGGUCUGGAUUUUAAAUACUUGAUUAGAGCAGAGAGCCAGUAAUGCCAGGGUGGUGGGUUUGAUCCCUGUACAGGCCAUUCACUAGGGAGCUGGACUCAGUGAUCCAUGUGGGUCCCUUCCAGCUUGGAAUAUUCUCUGUGUGUGAUAGGAGUUUGAAUAAAUGCAAUUAUUUCAAAUCUU
Molecule: long non-coding RNA, 1710 nt
Organism: Serinus canaria (Common canary)
Lineage: Eukaryota; Metazoa; Chordata; Aves; Passeriformes; Fringillidae
Exons: 4
Source: RefSeq, a predicted model, not a curated record